GAUGAACGCUGGCGGCGUGCUUAACACAUGCAAGUCGAACGGUGAAGCCCAGCUUGCUGGGUGGAUCAGUGGCGAACGGGUGAGUAACACGUGAGCAAUCUGCCCUUGACUCUGGGAUAAGCGCUGGAAACGGCGUCUAAUACUGGAUAUGAGCUGCGGCCGCAUGGUCGGCAGUUGGAAAGAAUUUCGGUCAAGGAUGAGCUCGCGGCCUAUCAGCUUGUUGGUGAGGUAAUGGCUCACCAAGGCGUCGACGGGUAGCCGGCCUGAGAGGGUGACCGGCCACACUGGGACUGAGACACGGCCCAGACUCCUACGGGAGGCUG
RNAcentral lists this ribosomal RNA (323 nucleotides) under uncultured Actinomycetes bacterium. RNAcentral describes it as "bacterial SSU rRNA". It matches the Rfam family "Bacterial small subunit ribosomal RNA", at positions 28 to 351 of the family's 1533-position model. The record is from RNAcentral. Lineage: Bacteria; Bacillati; Actinomycetota; Actinomycetes.